GAGUUUGAUCGUGGCUCAGAUUGAACGCUGGCGGCAUGCCUUACACAUGCAAGUCGAACGGCAGCACGGGAGCUUGCUCCUGGUGGCGAGUGGCGAACGGGUGAGUAAUGCAUCGGAACGUAUCCUGGAGUGGGGGAUAACGUAGCGAAAGUUACGCUAAUACCGCAUAUUCUGUGAGCAGGAAAGCGGGGGGACCUUCGGGGCCUCGCGCUCUUGGAGCGGCCGAUGUCGGAUUAGCUAGUUGGUGAGGUAAAGGCGUCACCAAGGCGACGAUCCGUAGCAGGUCUGAGAGGAUGAUCUGCCACACUGGAACUGAGACACGGUCCAGAC
Molecule: ribosomal RNA, 330 nt
Filed under: bacterium enrichment culture clone ALO1_GLFRUDD03HA3PX
Lineage: Bacteria
Description: bacterial SSU rRNA
Rfam family: Bacterial small subunit ribosomal RNA
Source: RNAcentral